UACGUAGGGUGCAAGCGUUGUCCGGAAUUAUUGGGCGUAAAGAGCUCGUAGGCGGUCUGUCGCGUCGGCUGUGAAAUCCCGAGGCUCAACCUCGGGUCUGCAGUCGAUACGGGCAAACUGGAGUACUGCAGGGGAGACUGGAAUUCCUGGUGUAGCGGUGAAAUGCGCAGAUAUCAGGAGGAACACCGGUGGCGAAGGCGGGUCUCUGGGCGAUAACUGACGCUGAGGAGCGAAAGCGUGGGGAGCGAACAGG
RNAcentral lists this ribosomal RNA (253 nucleotides) under uncultured bacterium. Its description in RNAcentral is "partial 16S ribosomal RNA". It matches the Rfam family "Bacterial small subunit ribosomal RNA", at positions 524 to 776 of the family's 1533-position model. The record is from RNAcentral.